This 73-nucleotide transfer RNA is filed under the name Pteropus alecto (black flying fox). It matches the Rfam family "tRNA". From Rfam's summary of the family: Transfer RNA (tRNA) molecules are approximately 80 nucleotides in length. Their secondary structure includes four short double-helical elements and three loops (D, anti-codon, and T loops). Lineage: Eukaryota; Metazoa; Chordata; Mammalia; Chiroptera; Pteropodidae. The record is from Rfam by way of RNAcentral.
GGCUCGAUAGUGUAGCGGUUAGCACGUUUGCUUUACACGUAGAAGGUCCUGGGUUCAUUCCCCAGUGGAGCAA